Molecule: unclassified non-coding RNA, 599 nt
Filed under: Hevea brasiliensis (rubber tree)
Lineage: Eukaryota; Viridiplantae; Streptophyta; Magnoliopsida; Malpighiales; Euphorbiaceae
Source: RNAcentral
CCUUCAUACACCUGAAUAAGCACUCCUGGCUGGUUAUCAGAGUAUGUCGAGAAGAUUUGCUCUUUCUUGGUAGGAAUCGUUGUGUUCCUUGGAAUCAAGACCGUCAUUACACCACCAGCAGUCUCAAUUCCGAGGCUGAGAGGAGUGACAUCCAAGAGAAGCAAAUCUUGAACCUUCUCAUCCCCUUCACCACUAAGAAUUGCGGCUUGGACAGCAGCUCCAUAUGCCACGGCCUCAUCUGGGUUUAUGCUCUUGCAGAGUUCUUUUCCAUUGAAGAAAUCCCGCAAAAGUUGCUGAACUUUGGGAAUUCUGGUUGACCCACCCACGAGGACAACCUCAUGAACUUGACUCUUAUCAAUCUUGGAGUCACGAAGACAUUUCUCCACGGGUUCCAUGCACUUUCUGAACAAAUCCAUGUUCAGUUCUUCAAAUCUUGCUCUAGUGAUCGUUGCAUAGAAAUCAAUACCCUCAUAAAGAGAAUCAAUCUCAAUAGUUGUCUGUGAGGUUGAAGACAGAGUCCUCUUUGCCCUCUCACAGGCGGUUCUCAAUCUUCUCAGGGCUCUGGCAUUGGUACUAAUAUCCUUCUUGUGCUUCCUCUU